UCCUAAGCUCUUCCGAGCCACAUAAAUUCUCCAAACCCAGAAACGAGAUAAGAGCCGGGAACACAUUCGAACCAACAACACCAAAACGUGAAAUUUCCACUACUUUUUACCUGCAUUCAAAGAAAGCCUCACAUCAAAAUUGCCAAGGUACGGUGGCAGUGUGUAGUUCAAUAACAGUAGCUAAGCCAAAUUCUGAGUGGACGUCUCUGGCUCCUGCCUUGGUAAUAUACUCUUGAAAUUUCUUCUCAACACAAAUUAUUAAUAUUUUUUAUUCAACUGCUAUUUUCACAGUACCGACUCAAGCGUUGUUCAGAGUGUGGGAUGAUUUUUCCAUGAGUCUAAUAUUACUUUACUCAAACACACUAUCAGAGCUUCAGAUCUUUUUGGUGCAACAAAACGUUUAAUCAGUUUCGACUUGUUGAUGAGUGUUUUUGACAUAAUUCUUGGUUUUGAAGUGUUCUAUUCUAGGAUUAUGAGGCUGGCUUAUCAUUCAUUUUAGAUCAUUAAAUUAACCCGAGUACUUUUAUAGCUUCGUUGUUUCAAUAAGCUUGAACAUCAUUUGCUAAUUAGGUUCA
Long non-coding RNA from Vigna radiata var. radiata (mung bean), 575 nucleotides. RefSeq lists it as uncharacterized. The record is from RefSeq and is a predicted model, not a curated record. The transcript is spliced from 2 exons. Lineage: Eukaryota; Viridiplantae; Streptophyta; Magnoliopsida; Fabales; Fabaceae.